CGAUUAAACGGCCUGGUCUCGAGGCUAACUCUGCUUGCGCGCAACUGAUAGUAAAAUGGCUGAUGCUGGAGUAGUUGAUAUUAACUCCCUCUCCAUAGCUGAGCUGACACUCUAUACAGCCCAAGUUGCUUGUCCAAGAAGUUAAACUGUGUGGACAGUCAUUUAAAUAAAAGGGGUGUGGCCAUUUGAACUUUUAUCGUCGAAAAUAAAUCCGUGAAAUGUUUACCGUAUUCACCCGAAUUACCGGGACACUCUAUUCUAAGGGACACUUCGGACUUACGUAAUUUUUUUCACUCUAUAUUAAGGAGCAACAGGAAAUGUAAAUAUUUUUAGACGUCCCGAUCUAAUUAUAACGAAAAAGAGCGUGUUAGCUCGAUAGAGACUCAAAACUCUUAGAACUCUCUGGAUUCUACUCUCUGGCAACGUAAUAUGUCACUGACGGUUGAAGACACCACUUUGUAGACAUGGAACCCGCGUACACAGCUUCUAAACUGCACGAAAGACAUUUUAGUGCAGAGCUAGCCUCGGCCUGGAAUCGAGGCCGUGUACGUACCUUAAAUGGGGAAAUAUUACUACGGGACACCCUAAUACAAGGGACACUUCGACUUUAACGUAAUUUUUCUUGCUCUAUUCCAAGGGACACUGCAAGCCGUAAUUAUUUUUUGUGUCCCGGUAAUUCGGGUGAAUACGGUAGUUAAAGCAUAGAUACUGUACACUCCGUGGAUGUGAAACACUUCCGCCCACUACCAAAAGUCCUGAAACACUCAUUGCAACGGAUGACACGGACGGAGUAUCCGGAAUUCCGUAUAGUAUACGGAAUCUACUGCAUACAAUAAUAAUCAAUAAUAAUCUAACUACGUGUGAGUGAUAGGAUAACUGAAGCUCCCAGUCCAAGUUCUUCCAGUGCUAACUGAUUCUCUGCGCAGGGAGAGAUGUUCAUGAAUGAAAGUGGAAAUGCAGAAAUCAUAUUGGAACCUGACAAAUUUAGAUCUAGCUACAUGUACACUGCUGACUUAAUUUUUGUGAUAUUGUAUAUAGCACAGCAUGUAUGCACACAGAAUAUUAUAUAGGCAGGCAUCCAUGCAUGGAGAUAGACUUAGUAGUAGACAACUAAAUGGAAAACUAAAACUGAUUUAAAGUUGAAGGAGGAUUCUUCUUCGUCUUAUCGCUAUACUUGUGCUUGUACACUUGUUUGUUAGUCUUGCAUUGCAUCAGGGAAUAAUUAUGCUCCUUUCCGCUUCCUUUGGUGAUAGAGCAUUACCUAAAUUAAAAAAGUAUGUUAGAAUGCACAUAAUAAUUUACUCCGGCCGCUGUACGUACGAUCAUGUAUGCAUUAUCAUCAUACAGUACAUUUGUAUGAGUAAACAUGUUCACCACAAAAAGACACGCUUUCCUGAAAUAACAAAACAUUUACUGAGGGUCAAAAUAGAUUCUCCUGGUAUAAGGACAUCUAUAUUAUUGAAUGACCACAUCAUUUAAGUGAUGGAGCUUUUUGUUGGCAAGAUCGCCUAACCACAAGAUAGGUACUGUUGAACACCUAAUUUUGACCUAUCAUUCAGUUUGCUGCUAGCCUUAUACAUUUUCUUAAGUGCUGAACACAUUCUCCCAGUACUUCACUUCAUUGACUAACAGGAAAGCAAAGCGAAAUGUUCCAACCAUAAACCCAACCAAAGAUCGCCUAACCACAAACUUGUCACCUAGUAAGUUACAGACAAAAAUGAGCUCCAAAAGGCUAUCCACUAAUAAUGCAGGCUCAAUAUCCAUGCUCUAUGAUAGACUUACCUCCCACCUACAAGUACAGGAGACCUUCUCCUCCACUGAAGCCACAAGUGGGCAGCUGUGCAAGAAAAACAACACUAAAAGUGUCCAUUUCUGCAGCUGGGUGCCGUUGCAACUACAGAGCUCAGACGAAAAACACUCUUUCUGUUGUCUAUGGAGACAGGAGCUCUAGUGAGACUCGACCUUGACAUGUUAUCCAAGAUUCCGCUGACCUAAGCCUGGAGGCGGGCGCUCUGAUUGGUGGACUGAGACAUGCUCACAUGCAUGGCAACCAACACAGCUCUGCUGGGUCGCCUGGAUGACGGAAUUAUUCAAGUCGCUUUCUGCUUAAAAGCCACACCUGCCAAUCACAGAUCUGUUCAGCUUUGCCGUAUUCUUCGUGCGGCUAAGCCUUGAGGCAUAAUAAGAGCAGCAUACAUUAGUAUGUGUAGUUGUAGCAUACCAUGUACUUCGAAGCACAUCAUAUUAUUUGUUGUACAGUUUAACAUGAAUUAAACAACAACUUCGUAGUCUAUGACAGUUUCAUGCAUAUUGUCUGGAACAGUUCCCACAAUUAAUGCGAUCCGGCAUUCGGCUGAGUGGCAGGGUUGGUUCCUUCAUAUGAUAGAUUCGGCUGAGUGGCAGGGUUGAGUUCUUCAUGUGAUGGGGAUCCUUCAUGUGAUAGAUGCACCACCUGCAUUUUCCGUAGCUCAAUCUCUAGUUUCCACACUCGCUUCUUGUGGUACAAAUAAGCAAUGCAGAUGACAACACUUAUAACAGCGAUUGCAGCAUUCACUACAGCCACAACAGACACAGUUAGCCCCACUACUAGUUUAGAGUUUGCUGGGGCAGUUAAUACAGUAGUUGUAGUUAAUACAGUAGUUGUAGUUGCAGUCUGUCUGGUAGCUUGAACAAGUGCAUCUCCUCUGGCCAGAAUUAACACCUCUUCCACAGGGAUCUGAUCCGUUAUAUCUGUCUCUGAUGUCACAAACACUGUGUACUCAAUGUCUGGGAAUAGACCUGUGCACACACAGUGUAUGGGGGGUGGGGGUGCAUAUGAUUAUUAUGCAUGCUUUAGAGUAUAUAUAGGGUUAGAUAAUUAUUAUUAUUGAGCAUCCCAACUCCCAAGUGCAUAAUGUGCAUGACUAUAGUACGUAGCUGCUUACCUCCAAUCACUCCUAUGGUGGAGGUGACAGUAUUAGAUAGUCUGAUAUCAUUCUCCUCAGCCGCCCUGAUCCAGAGGUUGUAUCGUAGCUCAUCUCUCCCCCUACCUCCAGUGGAUACUGGCUCCUCCCAGGCUAGUGUUAGUGUGGUACUGGAUGUACUCACCACUCUUACAUUGAGUGGAGGGGACGGGGGAACUGCAUGGGUGUGUGUUAUAUUGACAUUAUGAAUACUAGGGAAAUGGUUGAAAUUCUUCUCAAUAUUCCCAAUAACUAUGCUGUUGUAAACGACACAACAAUAUAGAUCUAUAUCAAAAUGGUUUAGAAAAACUAAUGCUGUGUAUAUCAAUAUACUUAUCUCUGUAAUCUAUUCCCAAUUCAAGAAGCUGUAUAAUCAUAUGCAUGUAUGCGAUAAAUUAUAGUAUAAAGCAAUCAUAUAAUGGGUCAUUUAUUCAGUCCUGAUUGUUGUUCAGAUCACUAACGAUUAUAGUUUACCCAAAUAUCAUUAUCAUCCAACUCACGGGUGCAGGGAAGGUCCACCUCUUGUGGUUUUCUGUAGUAGCCAUCAUCACAUGGACACUCUGCUAGGCCUGAGGCUGUACUGUUGCUGUUGCUAGGGCAUGUUAGGCACUCCCCAUUAGCCACACUGGCAUAGAACCCAGGGUCACAGGCUGUGAGUGUGUGUAAGGAGGGGGUAUUAAUAUAACAGUAUAUACAAUUGCCAGUGAGCCCAAACUGAAAACAUGUGAUGAUACUUACACAAACAAGUUCCUCCGUUCAUGGUGGGAACAAACCCAGUGUUGCACUCACACCUACUGGAGGCUGCAGCAACCCAGUUACCACUCUCCAAACAAAUGAGUGACACUACUGUGCUGGAGUUCUGGACACAGGAUGCAUUAACGUUGAGCUGUAUGCCAGACCCCACUGUUGGAGCUAUUGUCUCAGGACGCACCACCAAGUUGACUGUUUCACCAGGACAGACAUUAUAGAAGACAAUCAGUCGAGAGAUGGCAAUACAAGUGCCAGGAUCUCUAAUAGCGAGGUAGAAUCCAGACUCAUCGGUGUUGAAUCCAAAGUUUUCAGUAUUUUUUGUGGUAGUUCCAAAGACCUGAGUUGUCAAGGUUCGUAUAAGUGCAUAAUUAUCAGUUUCCCUGGCAACUACAGGAUUUAUUACAGAGGUCUCGUACUUCAGUAUGUCAAACGUUCUCCUGCAUCUUGUACUGCUUUCAUCAGGGCAAAUGCUCUGCUGGUAUUCAAUCUGUACAGAGACUUGCUGUAGGAAAUAUUCAUCUACUGUUCUAUUAAUGUGCUGAGUGAAAAGCCAGUUGUUCUGAUCUCCACCUGACCAACCACAAACAGUGACGACAGACAUACAGUUAGAUCCUUGUUCUACCCACUGAAGAAAGGAAGAGAUGAGAUCAGUGCAAUUUGACACUGCUUAGGAUAAUUAGCUAGAAUUACUUACUGAUGAUUGGGUCCCAAUGGGAUUGUUACCAUCAAGGUCCACUGCCUGCCACACUGGAUUAGAGUUUGGUGGGAGCAAUCGGUUGUAGUGACUGGAGUCCAUUAGAAUCCUUCCAUUAGGAGGGUCCUCCACAAUGUUCACUCCAAGGGCAGGUAGAGAUACUGAACACAGUUCUUGUUCAUCUCCUGGAGCCUGUCCAGCCACCAUUCUCAGCACACCCACCAUCAGCAGCAGGAUGGCUAUAGCUAUCAUCUUCAUUGUGCAUAUAUAAUUAUGGCUGCAGCUAAUAGUAUGCUGUCUACAUGUAGAUAUUAUAAUAUUGGACUGAGUUGAGCCCCACCCCCCUCAUUUUUAUAUAACUUGUAACAUCACACAGCCACCACAAGCAAUCAUGAGUGUCCAUUAUUUAUUGUGCUAGAUACAUGUAUAGUAUAUAGAGGCUAUAGUGUCCCUAUACCCAGUGACAGUGUUGACCCCACAGAGAGUGCAUGCUUGACAGAGGAGUGUGUGUUGUAGUCACGUCACCAUGCAGACACUACACUAUAGUCACCUUCAUUCACUAUUAUUAAAAGUGAAUGGAGAGAGCAUGAAUAAUUUAUAAUUAUUUAUAGUAGCUAUAUAAUUAUGGGAGAGAGCAUGCACAUGCGUAAUUCAUAUGAGAAGGUAUCAUCAAUAUAAUUAUUAACAGCUUCAUAUAAUUAUAGCUUCAUUCUAUUAAUAUGCGAUACAUGCACUCACACUCUACAAAUACACUGUGUUCUGUUUGUAGCCAUCAUAACUUGGACUUGAUUACCUGCUAAAAUAGGAAAGUGCUAAAAUCUCACGUGUAGUAGUGUGUGGCUCGUUGCAUGAAUUGUUUUGUCCUUCACAAAUUAAUGUUAGUUCUUGCAAAGAAUAUAUAAUUAAUGGCAUGCACUUAAUAAUUAUGUGUUUGCAUGAUUUUUUAACCUAGUGUCUUGGUUUGAUCACAUCUCUUGGAUCGAUUUAGUGUAGUCGUGGUUUUAUAAUGAAGGAAUGUAAUUAUGUAUACAAUAAUGGCAUGCACUUAUGUGUUUGCAUGAUUUUUUAACCUAGUGUUUUGGCAUCUCUCUUGGAUCGAUUAGUGUAGUCGUGGUUUCGUAAUGAAGGAAUGUGUUUGCCAAAUAUAAUAGAUACAACGCACGCACAGGUUUGAGCUGCUCAUACGUGUAUAAGUAUUAUUGCUGAGUAUGCAUACUUGCGGGAGUAGGUAGGUCAUGGUGCUUGUAUAUAUAUACGCUGAGUCGUAAUUCUCUCCUGGAUGACGGAAUUAUUCAUGCACUUAAAAGCCACACCUGGAAUCUCAGUGGCAUAAUUAUAAAUUUACUUCUAUUGAGCUUUCACGUUAUUGCGUGUCCUGAUUAUGCCUCGAGGCGUAGCCGCACAAGGGAUACGGUAAAGCUGACUGUGUGUGUGUGUGUAUUCCAGCAGCAACUGCUCAAAGGUUGCAAUGCGACGAAAACUAACAGCUUCUAUAGGCUUCUAGCCACGUUCUCUUGGAUUUUGAUUCGUGGAUUAGCAAACUAAAGCUUCUUUCUCGAGUUAUGGCUAGUUUGACUCACAUCGAAGGCUGUUGCAGUCUCUUCAGAAUCUUUCAUAGCAUCAUCUGUCCGCACAAACUUUCUAUUCAACAUAUGAGUUAGCCUUGCACUAAAGCGCUAGCUUUUUGUUAGCUACAAUACUCAGAAAAUAUCUGUUAAAACAGCUAGCAAGCAGUUGCCAUUAAUUUUGUGAAAUUGAUCUCUUUGGACACACCCUUUAAUUAUUCCUGUGGAUGUAAUGCGCAUGCGCGCUCAUUCCCCAUGUGUGAGAAAUAAUAUCCAAGAUCCAGAUCCAGAUCCUCCUGGCAGAAUCAUCUUUGUCUUGAGCGCCUAGUCUUUUCUUCUUAGAUAUUUAUAUACACUGAACUCUUGGAAGAAUCAAUUUUCUUCUUUCUUGAGGGCCUGUCCCAUUCACGCUCCAUGAAGAAGUCAAAGUGCUUGUGGGUGUAGAGGUUGUGAUUUCAGUGGUUUUCGAGGAUGCUAUGCUCCACGACGAACUUUCAGAGGUGGAUUCAGAGUUUACAUGGGUCCACGACUACCUUACAUUGGGCUGUUAUAUGAACUCCAAAACUGUCAUGUGAAUAUUUUGAUAUCACUUUGUUUUGUAUUUGUUUAUUGUCACUUAUG
Molecule: long non-coding RNA, 6572 nt
Organism: Halichondria panicea
Lineage: Eukaryota; Metazoa; Porifera; Demospongiae; Suberitida; Halichondriidae
Exons: 7
Source: RefSeq, a predicted model, not a curated record